GAUCAUUAAAGAGUUAGGGUCUCACAGGCCCGACCUCCAACCCUUUGUUGUUAUAACUACCUCGUUGCUUUGGCGGGACCGCUCGGUCUCGAGCUGCUGGUCUUCGGCCCGGCAAGCGCCCGCCAGAGUCUACUCAAACUCUUGUUUUAACCGGUCGUCUGAGUUAAACUUUUAAUUAAAUUAAAACUUUCAACAACGGAUCUCUUGGUUCUCGCAUCGAUGAAGAACGCAGCGAAAUGCGAUAAGUAAUGUGAAUUGCAGAAUUCAGUGAAUCAUCGAAUCUUUGAACGCACAUUGCGCUCCCUGGUAUUCCGGGGAGCAUGCCUGUUCGAGCGUCAUUACACCACUCAAGCACUGCUUGGUAUUAGGCCAUCGUCCCCCGAAAGGUGGGCGUGCCUCAAACACCUCGGCGGAGCCUCACCGGCUUUGGGCGUAGUAGAAUUUCUCAACGUCUUACAAGUACCGGUUUGGUCCCUUUGCCGUAAAACCCCCAAUUUUUACAGGUUGACCUCGGAUCAGGUAGGGAUACCCGCUGAACUUAAGCAUAUCAAUAAGCGGAGGAAAAGAAACCAACAGGGAUUGCCCUAGUAACGGCGAGUGAAGCGGCAACAGCUCAAAUUUGAAAUCUGGCACUUGUGUCCGAGUUGUAAUUUGUAGAGGAUGCUUUUAGGCAGCCACCGGUCUAAGUUCCUUGGAACAGGACGUCAUAGAGGGUGAGAAUCCCGUAUGUGACCGGAAAGGCACCUUCUGUAAAGCUCCUUCGACGAGUCGAGUUGUUUGGGAAUGCAGCUCUAAAUGGGAGGUAAAUUUCUUCUAAAGCUAAAUACCGGCGAGAGACCGAUAGCGCACAAGUAGAGUGAUCGAAAGAUGAAAAGCACUUUGGAAAGAGAGUUAAAAAGCACGUGAAAUUGUUGAAAGGGAAGCGCUUGCAAUCAGACUUGUCCUUGAGUGUUCCGCCGGUCUUCUGACCGGUCUAUUCAUUCUUGGACAGGCCAGCAUCACUUUUGGCGGCCGGAUAAAGGCAUUGGGAAUGUGGCUCAACCUUCGGGGGGAGUGUUAUAGCCCAGUGUGUAAUACGGCCAGCUGGGAGUGAGGUCCGCGCU
RNAcentral lists this ribosomal RNA (1103 nucleotides) under fungal sp. ARIZ AZ1005. RNAcentral's name for it is "eukaryotic LSU rRNA". The stretch from base 506 to 1103 matches the Rfam family "Eukaryotic large subunit ribosomal RNA", at positions 1 to 606 of the family's 3401-position model. The record is from RNAcentral. Lineage: Eukaryota; Fungi.